GAUUGCUAAGCAGUGGUGAUGGCCCACUUGAGAUUGGUGAAUUUGUUGUAUGAAAACUUUAGACAAAUUUUCUCCUAAGGAUUGCUUUGGAAACAUUCUAAAAGUUUUGAUAGAGAUCAAUGGAGAAGAAGUGGAGUCCUUUUUUAAAACAUGAGAAUGAUCUUUGCUUUAAGGAUAUUUAUUUGGCAGCUGUGGGGAAGAUGUGUUGGAGAAGGAAGAGACUUGAUACAGCAUCAAUUAGAAGGCUGUGGAGAUAGUCCAGGAAUGAGUUUGUUGUGCUAUUCUGUUUUGGGAGGAGUAUAUGAAUAAAGACAACUGAAAAGAUGAAGAAACUGAAGCUCAAAGAAGUUAAAUGAUUCACUAGUGGUCUCACAGGUAGUAAGUAUCAGAGCCAUGAUUCAAAACCAGCAGGAUCUCCUGAGUUAAGGUCCAGCAAUCUUUCUUCUAAACCACAGUGGAAAAAACAGUAAUCUUCAUCAAUACAGGAUAGAAUGAUUCUAUUGAGUUUCCGUUUGAUGAAUUCACUUCUGGACAUAAAAAGCUAUAUAUUUUUUCAGAUGUAGAAACAUUCAUAAUUGAGUAAAUCUGAACACUCUGAAAAUGUGUAGGUGGAAGGGAAAGAGGCCUUGAGAAAGUCUCAGGCUUACUUGAAGAUUUUUCCUUUCACUUGGGAAGAAUAGCAGUACCAGUAACAAAAGCAGAGGGUAACUAAUCACCCAGAGAGGAAUGAUCCAAGAAAAGAAGAAAAAAGAUGUGAAAAAUAUAUAA
This 768-nucleotide long non-coding RNA is filed under the name Monodelphis domestica (gray short-tailed opossum). RNAcentral's name for it is "lncRNA (ENSMODG00000045659.1)". Lineage: Eukaryota; Metazoa; Chordata; Mammalia; Didelphimorphia; Didelphidae. The record is from RNAcentral.